CCUACGGGAGGCAGCAGUGAGGAAUAUUGGACAAUGGGCGCAAGCCUGAUCCAGCCAUGCCGCGUGCAGGAAGACGCAUCUAUGGUGUGUAAACUGCUUUUGUACGGGAAGAAACACUCCCUCGUGAGGGAGCUUGACGGUACCGUAAGAAUAAGGAUCGGCUAACUCCGUGCCAGCAGCCGCGGUAAUACGGAGGAUCCAAGCGUUAUCCGGAAUCAUUGGGUUUAAAGGGUCCGUAGGCGGUUUAAUAAGUCAGUGGUGAAAGCCCAUCGCUCAACGAUGGAACGGCCAUUGAUACUGUUAGACUUGAAUUACUAGGAAGUAACUAGAAUAUGUAGUGUAGCGGUGAAAUGCUUAGAUAUUACAUGGAAUACCAAUUGCGAAGGCAGGUUACUACUAGUGGAUUGACGCUGAUGGACGAAAGCGUGGGGAGCGAACAGGAUUAGAUACCCUGGUAGUCCACGCCGUAAACGAUGGAUACUAGCUGUUGGGCGCAAGUUCAGUGGCUAAGCGAAAGUGAUAAGUAUCCCACCUGGGGAGUACGUUCGCAAGAAUUGAAACUUCAAAGGAAUUGACGGNNGAGAGNGCGAGACGACGACGAGGAGGAGG
This 609-nucleotide ribosomal RNA is filed under the name uncultured bacterium. Its description in RNAcentral is "bacterial SSU rRNA". It matches the Rfam family "Bacterial small subunit ribosomal RNA", at positions 338 to 947 of the family's 1533-position model. The record is from RNAcentral.